This 467-nucleotide ribosomal RNA is filed under the name uncultured bacterium. Its description in RNAcentral is "partial 16S ribosomal RNA". It matches the Rfam family "Bacterial small subunit ribosomal RNA", at positions 28 to 507 of the family's 1533-position model. The record is from RNAcentral.
GACGAACGCUGGCGGCGUGCUUAACACAUGCAAGUCGAACGGAAAGGCCCUGCUUUUGUGGGGUGCUCGAGUGGUGAACGGGUGAGUAACACGUGAGUAACCUGCCCUUGACUUUGGGAUAACUUCAGGAAACUGGGGCUAAUACCGGAUAGGAGCUCCUGCUGCAUGGUGGGGGUUGGAAAGUUUCGGCGGUUGGGGAUGGACUCGCGGCUUAUCAGCUUGUUGGUGGGGUAGUGGCUUACCAAGGCUUUGACGGGUAGCCGGCCUGAGAGGGUGACCGGCCACAUUGGACUGAGAUACGGCCCAGACUCCUACGGGAGGCAGCAGUGGGGAAUAUUGCACAAUGGGCGGAAGCCUGAUGCAGCAACGCCGCGUGCGGGAUGACGGCCUUCGGGUUGUAAACCGCUUUCGCCUGUGACGAAGCGUGAGUGACGGUAAUGGGUAAAGAAGCACCGGCUAACUACGUG